AGGAAGACUAGAACAUCAUGAAACAAAUAUCAAGCACAGCCACAGGAAGUGAAUCGCAGAUCCUACAACACAACAACUAAAGCUGCAAAGCACUAAGUUGGAAUCAUGACGUCUCUAAAACCCGAAUCAACAUUUGUGGAAAUCUGAGAGUCCAGUUGCACCUCAACACCACAGGUGAAAUCUCUGGAUAAGGGUGUCACUGGCUACGCAGCAUUUAUUUGCCAAGAGGGGAUCAGAUGGGCCAAUGGGCUGAGAAGUGGCAGAUGGAGUUUAAUUCAGAUAAAUGCGUGGUGCUGUAUUUUGGGAAAACAAAUCUUAGCAGGACUUAUAC
Molecule: long non-coding RNA, 331 nt
Organism: Hemiscyllium ocellatum (epaulette shark)
Lineage: Eukaryota; Metazoa; Chordata; Chondrichthyes; Orectolobiformes; Hemiscylliidae
Exons: 3
Source: RefSeq, a predicted model, not a curated record